Long non-coding RNA from Eptesicus fuscus (big brown bat), 1050 nucleotides. RefSeq lists it as uncharacterized. The transcript has 2 exons. NCBI's taxonomy places the organism in Eukaryota, Metazoa, Chordata, Mammalia, Chiroptera, Vespertilionidae. The record is from RefSeq and is a predicted model, not a curated record.
UUGCUCGCAGGGAAGGGGAGGCUGGUGAGCUCGGGGCCAGCUGCUUCGCAUUCGGUUGCAGGCGUGUGUGGACGUCACCGAGCGGACGCUAGGUGCCCCUGGUCGCAAUGCUGGAGGUGAAGCAGGGUCCCCCUCUGCCACGUGGCCAGGGAGCCAGGUCACCCGCUGAGGGUGCUGUCCCGGACAGUGUGGGUGUUGAGCAGCAUCCCUGAUCCCCAUCACCCGAUGCCAGGAGCACCCCUCAGUCAUGGCAACCACAGAUGCCCCCAGACAUGGCCCAGGGUCCCCGGGGGGUUAGGGUCACCCUCACUUGCAAACACCUGGUCUCGCCCAAGAAAUAGCCCGAGGGAGUCCCCCUCUGCCUUUGAGCGUAGAGGGUGUCCUCCACGUCCCUCUGAUGUUCGACCUCCGGGGACUCACUCCCUCCCGAGCAGUUUGCCCCCGCGGGUCCGGACUCGGGUCUUUUUCUCAGGCCAGUAACUCCCGCCGCCCCCGCUGCAGCACCGGUGCGCGCGCCCAGGCACUGCGCCUGCGCACCACAGGGCCACACCAAGUCCCUCUGUGAGCAGUGGUUGGGUCACAGCGCCCUCUCCUGGGCGGAGAUGUCUACGCCUGUGGCUGCGCACAUCCACCGCCCCCAGCUCAAGCACCUCCUGUGCUCAAAUAAGGGAGAAAACACAAUGUAUUUAUUGAGAAACACUGGUCACCUGCCUCCCGAAGGCGCCCCCACCGGGAAUCAAACCUCCAGUCUGGGCAUGUGACCUGACCCGAAUGGAAACCUUCACCCAUUUGGUGCCACUCCAACCAGGCGAGCCACACCGGCCAGGGCAAAACACAAUAUAUUUAGCAAGAUGCCUGAGACAUAAAGAUUUGCCAUUAAAACAAUAAUCAUUAUUAUUACAAUUUAUUUGAAAGUUAUCAAAAGUCCCAGCUCAUGAUGUGGAAGAUGCACAGCGCUGCCCAGAUUCCUCCUUCAGGACUAAAGGACCCAUUUCCCUUCCUGGAAAUGCUGCUCUCAGCCUUGCUCAAACAAACAUGAUAGCAAAAAGA